GGUGCUUCCCACAGGCUGUGUUCUUACCCUGACUACCUCAUACGCACCUCAGCCUAACCCUGCGGAUGGUCUGUAUUGUGAAUGGGGAGACACGG
This 95-nucleotide small nucleolar RNA is filed under the name Castor canadensis (American beaver). RNAcentral's name for it is "Small nucleolar RNA SNORA51 (ENSCCNG00000027146.1)". Lineage: Eukaryota; Metazoa; Chordata; Mammalia; Rodentia; Castoridae. The record is from RNAcentral.